AUGUCGGACAGUCUGAAGAAAAGUGCGUGGCAAGGAACGAUCUCCAAUGGCAAGGAGGUCAACCGCGGUGAACCAAUCAUGCAGUAUGUUGUGCACGAGUUUGGGGAACAACACAAUGGCCGAUAUGUUGACCCGGACGAACUACGACGACUUAGCAUUAAGCGCAAGCAAACAACAAGCAACCAAAAGAAGAAAAAAGCUUGGGUACAUGUGGGAUCUUCUCACAUCGCAUUAGUUACUGGUACUACCACGCUACUGCUGGCGCCUCCGAGCAAGCCAGGGACGAAGCCAAGAGAGAGCAGGCAUAAAGAGAAACCUCCAAGACAGCCGGCGAGCGAACCGAGGUGGUCAAAAGUCAAAGCGAACGUUUCUGCUGCUGGCGCUCCCGAGCAAUACAGGGACGGACGCCAGCCUGGGAGAGUGAGCGAGAAAUUGGUAACAAUGGAUCUAAGUGACAAACAGAUUCAGAUCCUCGAGAGGUUGAUCAAGCACCAUUCCUACAGCUUAUUUUUCGUGUCGUAUUUUCAUGGUGAUCCAUGGCGCACGGUAUUCAAGGUUUUCAUCUUCUUCUUCUUUUUUCAAAACUGCAGUGUUUUCAUGGAGUGCCCCAACCCCGAUGAGGCCCAGCGCGCUCAUCUCGGUCGUGAGCUUCGCGUGGAGCCCCAGCAUAUCAAACUCUGGUUCAAGAACUGCCGUGCCCAGAUGAGGAGGGCUAGGCACGAGCAGGUGGACAACCACUUAUCUGACUCGGAGAAUGAUGAGAUCGACUCGGAGAAUGACGAGAUCCACUAA
Molecule: ribosomal RNA, 792 nt
Filed under: Triticum aestivum (bread wheat)
Lineage: Eukaryota; Viridiplantae; Streptophyta; Magnoliopsida; Poales; Poaceae
Description: partial small subunit ribosomal RNA
Source: RNAcentral